UACGUAGGCAGCGAGCGUUGUUCGGAGUUACUGGGCGUAAAGGGUGUGUAGGCGGUUCUUUUAAGUUUGGCGUGAAAUCUCCCGGCUCAACCGGGAGGGUGCGUCGAAUACUGAGGGACUAGAGUACGGGAGAGGAAAGUGGAAUUCCUGGUGUAGCGGUGAAAUGCGUAGAUAUCAGGAGGAACACCGGUGGUGUAGACGGCUUUCUGGACCGUAACUGACGCUGAGACACGAAAGCGUGGGUAGCAAACAGG
This 254-nucleotide ribosomal RNA is filed under the name uncultured bacterium. RNAcentral describes it as "partial 16S ribosomal RNA". It matches the Rfam family "Bacterial small subunit ribosomal RNA", at positions 524 to 776 of the family's 1533-position model. The record is from RNAcentral.